Molecule: ribosomal RNA, 490 nt
Filed under: uncultured bacterium
Lineage: Bacteria
Description: partial 16S ribosomal RNA
Rfam family: Bacterial small subunit ribosomal RNA
Source: RNAcentral
AUUGAACGCUGGCGGCAGGCCUAACACAUGCAAGUCGAACGGUAACAGGAAACAGCUUGCUGUUUCGCUGACGAGUGGCGGACGGGUGAGUAAUGUCUGGGAAACUGCCUGAUGGAGGGGGAUAACUACUGGAAACGGUAGCUAAUACCGCACAACGUCGCAAGACCAAAGAGGGGGACCUUCGGGCCUCUUGCCAUCAGAUGUGCCCAGAUGGGAUUAGCUAGUAGGUGGGGUAACGGCUCACCUAGGCGACGAUCCCUAGCUGGUCUGAGAGGAUGACCAGCCACACUGGAACUGAGACACGGUCCAGACUCCUACGGGAGGCAGCAGUGGGGAAUAUUGCACAAUGGGCGCAAGCCUGAUGCAGCCAUGCCGCGUGUAUGAAGAAGGCCUUCGGGUUGUAAAGUACUUUCAGCGGGGAGGAAGGGAGUAAAGUUAAUACCUUUGCUCAUUGACGUUACCCGCAGAAGAAGCACCGGCUAACUCCGUG